UACGGAGGGUGCGAGCGUUAAUCGGAAUUACUGGGCGUAAAGCGCGCGUAGGUGGUGAGAUGAGUCUGAUGUGAAAGCCCUGGGCUUAACCUGGGAACGGCAUUGGAUACUGUCUCGCUAGAGUGUGGUAGAGGGGAGUGGAAUUUCCGGUGUAGCAGUGAAAUGCGUAGAGAUCGGAAGGAACACCAGUGGCGAAGGCGGCUCUCUGGACCAACACUGACGCUGAGGUGCGAAAGCGUGGGGAGCAAACAGG
RNAcentral lists this ribosomal RNA (253 nucleotides) under uncultured bacterium. Its description in RNAcentral is "partial 16S ribosomal RNA". It matches the Rfam family "Bacterial small subunit ribosomal RNA", at positions 524 to 776 of the family's 1533-position model. The record is from RNAcentral.